UGGAUUGAGAGCUUGCUCUCAAGAAGUUAGCGGCGGACGGGUGAGUAACACGUGGGUAACCUGCCCAUAAGACUGGGAUAACUCCGGGAAACCGGGGCUAAUACCGGAUAACAUUUUGAACUGCAUGGUUCGAAAUUGAAAGGCGGCUUCGGCUGUCACUUAUGGAUGGACCCGCGUCGCAUUAGCUAGUUGGUGAGGUAACGGCUCACCAAGGCAACGAUGCGUAGCCGACCUGAGAGGGUGAUCGGCCACACUGGGACUGAGACACGGCCCAGACUCCUACGGGAGGCAGCAGUAGGGAAUCUUCCGCAAUGGACGAAAGUCUGACGGAGCAACGCCGCGUGAGUGAUGAAGGCUUUCGGGUCGUAAAACUCUGUUGUUAGGGAAGAACAAGUGCUAGUUGAAUAAGCUGGCACCUUGACGGUACCUAACCAGAAAGCCACGGCUAACUACGUGCCAGCAGCCGCGGUAAUACGUAGGUGGCAAGCGUUAUCCGGAAUUAUUGGGCGUAAAGCGCGCGCAGGUGGUUUCUUAAGUCUGAUGUGAAAGCCCACGGCUCAACCGUGGAGGGUCAUUGGAAACUGGGAGACUUGAGUGCAGAAGAGGAAAGUGGAAUUCCA
This 620-nucleotide ribosomal RNA is filed under the name Bacillus toyonensis. Its description in RNAcentral is "bacterial SSU rRNA". It matches the Rfam family "Bacterial small subunit ribosomal RNA", at positions 68 to 671 of the family's 1533-position model. The record is from RNAcentral. Lineage: Bacteria; Bacillati; Bacillota; Bacilli; Caryophanales; Bacillaceae. RNAcentral also lists the same sequence under 1 other name.